AGUGUAGACAGCAGCAAGGGUGUGCCCGCAACUGGUUAGAUAUUGACCACACCCUGAGAACUUGGGGUGUGGCUUGGAGUUCUGGUAAUCUCUACCCAGGCUCUGUUGUCAAGGAAAGGCUGCCCACUGGCUCCUCCUUCAGCCCGCUUGGUGGAUAAAUGGCUUACUUCCGUUGGGUUGAUUCAUUCAGGACAUGAAGUUUCCAAGACAACUGCCAUCUUCGCAUCUCAAUCUGUUCUCAGCUGCAUGCCAGGUUUUGCCGUACAUAUUUCAAAAAGACA
Molecule: long non-coding RNA, 281 nt
Organism: Ochotona princeps (American pika)
Lineage: Eukaryota; Metazoa; Chordata; Mammalia; Lagomorpha; Ochotonidae
Exons: 2
Source: RefSeq, a predicted model, not a curated record